GCCGAAGUGGCGGAACUGGUAGACGCACACGUUUCAGGGGCGUGCGGGGGUAACCCUGUACGAGUUCGACUCUCGUCUUCGGCA
Molecule: transfer RNA, 84 nt
Filed under: Cytophagales bacterium
Lineage: Bacteria; Pseudomonadati; Bacteroidota; Cytophagia; Cytophagales
Also listed under: 1 other name
Description: tRNA-Leu
Rfam family: tRNA
About the family: Transfer RNA (tRNA) molecules are approximately 80 nucleotides in length.
Source: RNAcentral